CUCAUGGUUUCACGGUAUUGCAAUGAGAACAAUUUAAAACCCUUAGCGAGAAUCAAGUGGAGGACAAGUCAGGUGCCAGCACCCGCGGUAAUUCCAGCUCCACUAGCGUAUAUUAAAGUUGUUGCAGUUAAAAAGCUCGUAGUUGAACCUCUGUCUGGGGCUAGUUUUGGCUUUGGUCAGGCUAGUUCUAGGCGUCCGCCUACAAGACUUAGAGGGCAUUCAGUUGUUCACUAGGAGGAGUAGGCAUUUUACUUUGAAAAAAUUAGAGUGUUUAAGGCAGGCAAUCGCCCGCAUAUAUUAGCAUGGAAUAAUAGAAUAGGACACUUUUCCAUUUCGUUGGUUAUUGGAAUCGUGUAAUGAUUAAUAGGGACAGUUGUGGGCAUUUGUAUUUAAUUGUCGGAGGUGAAAUUCUUGGAUUUAUUAAAGACAAACUAACGCGAAAGCAUUUGCCAAGGAUGUUUUCAUUAAUCAAGAACGAAAGUUAGGGGAUCAAAGACGAUCAGAUACCGUCCUAGUCUUAACUAUAAACUAUUCCGACUCAAUGUUUGACUGGCUUAUAUAACCAGUUGAGCGUUGUAUGAGAAAUCAAAGUCUUUAGGUUCUGGGGGGAGUAUGGUUGCAAAGCUGAAACUUAAAGGAAUUGACGGAAGAGCACAACCAGGAGUGGAUUCUGCGGCUUAAUUUGACUCAACACGGGAAAACUUACCAGGUUAAAACAAUAGUGGGAUUGACAGUUUGAGAGCGCUUUCUUGAUUGGUUGGGUGGUGGUGCAUGGCCGUUCUUAGUUGGUGGAGUGAUUUGUCUGCUUAAUUGCGUUAACGAACGAGACCUUAACCUGCUUACUAGACUGGCGAUCAUCAAUCGUUAGCUCUUCUUAGAGGGACUUUGGUUGUUUUAACUCCAAGGAAGUUUGAGGCAAUAACAGGUCUGUGAUGCCCUUAGAUAUCCUGGGCCCACGCGUCAUACAAUGACUAGUUCAGAAAGUUUUCUCCUGACCCGAAAGGGGAUGGGUAAUCUUGAUAAUACUAGUCGUGUUAGGGAUCGAUCUUUGCAAUUAUAGAUCUUGAACGAGGAAUUCCUAGUAAGUGCGGUUCAUCAGACCGUACUGAUUACGUCCCUGCUCUUUGUACACACCGCCCGUCGCUUCUACCGAGUGGGUGGUCCGGUGAGAUAAUUGAACUUCGCAGGUAACUGAGAGGAAAGAUUAUCAAACCUAUCCACCU
RNAcentral lists this ribosomal RNA (1223 nucleotides) under metagenome. RNAcentral describes it as "SSU rRNA". It matches the Rfam family "Eukaryotic small subunit ribosomal RNA", at positions 493 to 1774 of the family's 1831-position model. The record is from RNAcentral.